This 491-nucleotide long non-coding RNA is filed under the name Homo sapiens (human). RNAcentral's name for it is "HSALNT0403176". Lineage: Eukaryota; Metazoa; Chordata; Mammalia; Primates; Hominidae. The record is from RNAcentral.
AGUCAGCAGCUUCCACCAAGACAAACCUGUGUCUGCUUUGCAGGAGCUUGUCAAGAAUCCUGGUGACUAAGGACUGGUUUGAAAAUAACCGGUAUUGUCCACGGGCUGAUCAUAGGAGUUGGUCUUUGGAAUUUCACUCUUGUGGCCCAGGCUGGAGUGCAAUGGCGUGAUCUCAGCUCACUGCAACUUCUACCUCUCGGAUUCAAGUGAUUCUCCUGCCUCAGCCUCCCAGGUAGCUGGGUUUACAGAGUUUCACUCUUGUUGCCCUGGCUGGAGUGUAACAGCGUGAUCUCGGCUCACUGCAACCUCCGCCUCUCAGGUUCAAGCGAUUCUCCUGCCUCAGCCUCUCGAGUAGCUGGGAUUACAGGGCGGAAUCUUUGUUUACUCACUCUGAGUACAAAUGGAAAGUCUGGAUAAUUCUGAGCUUCUGUAUUUGGAAACCCAUUGUGGCUAUUCAUAUAAACUAUCUAGUUUAAUAAAAAUAAUGUUUG